RNAcentral lists this ribosomal RNA (701 nucleotides) under Leuconostoc pseudomesenteroides. Its description in RNAcentral is "bacterial SSU rRNA". It matches the Rfam family "Bacterial small subunit ribosomal RNA", at positions 75 to 762 of the family's 1533-position model. The record is from RNAcentral. Lineage: Bacteria; Bacillati; Bacillota; Bacilli; Lactobacillales; Lactobacillaceae.
GGUGCUUGCACAUUUCAAGUGAGUGGCGAACGGGUGAGUAACACGUGGACAACCUGCCUCAAGGCUGGGGAUAACAUUUGGAAACAGAUGCUAAUACCGAAUGAAACUUAGUGUCGCAGGACACGAAGUUAAAAGGCGCUUUGGCGUCACCUAGAAAUGGAUCCGCGGUGCAUUAGUUAGUUGGUGGGGUAAAGGCCUACCAAGACAAUGAUGCAAAGCCAAGUUGAGAGACUGAUCGGCCACAUUGGGACUGAAACACGGCCCAAACUCCUACGGGAGGCUGCAGUAGGGAAUCUUCCACAAUGGGCGAAAGCCUGAUGGAGCAACGCCCCGUGUGUGAUGAAGGCUUUCGGGUCGUAAAGCACUGUUGUAUGGGAAAAACAUCUAGAAAAUGGAAUGAUUUUAGUUUGACGGUACCAUACCAGAAAGGGACGGCUAAAUACGUGCCAGCAGCCGCGGUAAUACGUAUGUCCCGAGCGUUAUCCGGAUUUAUUGGGCGUAAAGCGAGCGCAGACGGUUGAUUAAGUCUGAUGUGAAAGCCCGGAGCUCAACUCCGGAAUGGCAUUGGAAACUGGUUAACUUGAGUGCAGUAAAGGUAAGUGGAACUCCAUGUGUAGCGGUGGAAUGCGUAUAUAUAUGGAAGAACACCAGUGGCGAAGGCGGCUUACUGGACUGUAACUGACGUUGAGGCUCGAAAGUGU